ACGGAUACGGGUUGUGAGAGCAAUAACCCGGAGAUGAUAUCUGACACACGAUAUCAGGCCCUACGGGGCGCAGCAGGCGCGAAAACUUCGCACUGCGCGAAAGCGCGACGAGGGAAUCCCAAGUGUAUGCACGUAAGUGUAUACUGUUUCUCUGUCUAAAAAGCACAGAGAGUAAGAGCUGGGUAAGACGGGUGCCAGCCGCCGCGGUAAUACCUGCAGCUCAAGUGGUGAUCGUUAUUAUUGGGCCUAAAACGUCCGUAGCCGGUCUUGUAAAUGCCUGGGUAAAUCGUAUGGCUUAACCAUACGAAUUCCGGGUAGACUGUUAGACUUGAGACCGGGAGAAGCUACAGGUACUCCUGGGGU
This 363-nucleotide ribosomal RNA is filed under the name uncultured archaeon. RNAcentral describes it as "bacterial SSU rRNA". It matches the Rfam family "Archaeal small subunit ribosomal RNA", at positions 263 to 627 of the family's 1478-position model. The record is from RNAcentral.